UACAUGGGGUGCAAACGUUGCUCGGAAUUAUUGGGCGUAAAGCGCGCGUAGGCGGUUACUCAAGUCGGAUGUGAAAGCCCUCGGCUUAACUGAGGAAGUGCACCCGAAACUGAGUAGCUAGAGUACUAAAGAGGGUCGCGGAAUUCCCGGUGUAGAGGUGAAAUUCGUAGAGAUCGGAAGGAACGUCGAUGGCGAAGGCAGCCACCUGGCUUAAUACUGACGCUGAGGCGCGAAAGCGUGGGGAGCGAACAGG
This 253-nucleotide ribosomal RNA is filed under the name uncultured bacterium. Its description in RNAcentral is "partial 16S ribosomal RNA". It matches the Rfam family "Bacterial small subunit ribosomal RNA", at positions 524 to 776 of the family's 1533-position model. The record is from RNAcentral.